AGGACGAACGCUGGCGGCGUGCUUAACACAUGCAAGUCGAGCGGAAAGGCCCUUCGGGGUUACUCGAGCGGCGAACGGGUGAGUAACACGUGAGCAACCUGCCCUCAGCUCUGGGAUAGCUCCCGGAAACGGGAUUAAUACCGGAUACGACCCCGACCGACAUCGGUCAGGGUGAAAAGUUUUUCGGCUGAGGAUGGACUCGCGGCCUAUCAGCUAGUUGGUGGGGUAACGGCCCACCAAGGCGACGACGGGUAG
RNAcentral lists this ribosomal RNA (255 nucleotides) under uncultured bacterium. RNAcentral describes it as "partial small subunit ribosomal RNA". It matches the Rfam family "Bacterial small subunit ribosomal RNA", at positions 26 to 286 of the family's 1533-position model. The record is from RNAcentral.